RNAcentral lists this ribosomal RNA (494 nucleotides) under uncultured bacterium. Its description in RNAcentral is "bacterial SSU rRNA". It matches the Rfam family "Bacterial small subunit ribosomal RNA", at positions 1 to 507 of the family's 1533-position model. The record is from RNAcentral.
UAUCGACGACGUAGUUGAUCAGUGGCUCGAGGACGACGCUGGCGGCGUGCUUCAUACAUGCAAGUCGAACGAGAAUUCACCUUCGGGUGAAGGAAAGUGGCGAACGGGUGAGUAACGCGUGAGAAACCUGCCUUUCAGUGGGGGACAACAGUUGGAAACGACUGCUAAUACCGCAUAACGUAUCGAGGGGGCAUCCUCUUGAUACCAAAGCUUUAUGUGCUGAAAGAUGGUCUCGCGUCUGAUUAGCUAGUUGGUGAGGUAACGGCUCACCAAGGCGACGAUCAGUAGCCGGUCUGAGAGGAUGAACGGCCACAUUGGGACUGAGAUACGGCCCAGACUCCUACGGGAGGCAGCAGUGGGGAAUAUUGGGCAAUGGGGGAAACCCUGACCCAGCAACGCCGCGUGAAGGAAGAAGGCUUUCGGGUUGUAAACUUCUUUUAGCAGGGACGAAGGACGUGACGGUACCUGCAGAAAAAGCAACGGCUAACUACGUG